RNAcentral lists this long non-coding RNA (1664 nucleotides) under Olea europaea subsp. europaea. The record is from RNAcentral. Lineage: Eukaryota; Viridiplantae; Streptophyta; Magnoliopsida; Lamiales; Oleaceae.
UGCCACAAAAAAUGUUUAACAUUCAACAUACAUUAUAAAAACUUGAAAUCAAAUUAUAGUUGAAACUCACAACAUAAAAAUACAAAUCAAAAAGUCCUAGAGUUAAUAAGUUGAUAAUUUGAUCACAGGUUGAGCCUUUGGGAUGGGCUCUUUCCUUAGCUUCUUAACUUCUUCUUUAGCCAACAAAUCAACAAAAAAAUGCAAGAAUCGAUUGUAAAAACUUCUCAAAACUAGUUAACCUCUCGCUACGACCAAGCUUCGUCAAGAAGGGAAAAAUGUACCUCACUAUUACACUCAGCACAUUCAAUAGCCCUAAUGUCACUGUGCAGUACCGGAUGCACGGGCCUUGGAGGACAACUACCAAAAAAUAGCAAAGUAUUGAAUUUCGACUAGAAAGUUAAAAUGUGUUGUAAUAAUUACUUGUAAGUAGUAUAGUAUCGUGUCUACAAAGCUGAAGUCCCAAAGAACAGAAGAUCUCUUCAUGAGAUGAUUAUCACAUUUCUGCAUACAGUAUAUAGCAAUUUAUCAUGAAAGUUUUGUUUAAGUUUCAAAAUUAGGUUUUGAAAAAUGUAAAUACAUCUGUUUCUUAACAAUCGAUUGGCAUGUAGCUACAAAAAAAAAAAGGUGCCCUUCUCGUGUAUGUCAAUUAGCAACUAGUCAGACCUCGAAAGUUUUCUUUCGGUGACAACUCCAUGAUUAACUGUUGAAGACACCAAAAGAGAAUUUUCUUCGAUGAUGUAAUAUUAGAAGUUGUUACGUUCUUCAAUAAUUAACUGUUAUUGAAAAUACAUUAGCAAGAAUGAUGGACAAAUAAUCUUUAUCAGUAACUUCAAUUCCAAAGAAUAGGUUAUCAAAAAAAGGCAGAAGUCAUAAAUUUGGUUGGCUAAAUAUCUCACCUCAAACUUUUUGUCGGAUUAAUAUAAACAUAAAUGAAUAGAAUUUGGUUCUCAAACGGGAAAAAGAAAGGUAUGUCUAAACUUGUCCCGUUCAGAAUUACUGGCCCGUUUUAACUUGACAAAGCCAUCAUACCACAAUCAAAUGAAAGAAAUCACGUCAAUGUCAUGUGCUUAUUGAAAGAAAGGAAAUGCAAUAAUCUUAGUUUAAGAAAUUAAAAGUUACUUGGAUAAUCUCAAAAAGCUACAACUGAAAUCAUGCAAGAAACGUUAAAUCGUGCUUUUCUUAUCUUCCUCUCUUAAGUAAAAAUUAAUGGAACCUUUAUUCCCAUUUUCAUAGUAAAUAAACUUCCAUUAUUCUUGCCUUCUCGUGUUAUUCAAAAGUUAUUUGAUUCACAUGACUUUCCAACAAUUCAAAUUGUCUUCUUUGUCAACUCAGACCUCUUGCACUUCGUUAAAGCCUUUAUUUCAUCUAAAAUCCCUAAUUUCUCCAACACAUAAAGCAUAUAUCAUUAAUCAUAUAUACUGAAGGAAAAAAGGAUGAUGUCAAGCAUAACAUAGAAAUGUGAUGAACAUUGGCUGUAUCCUAUGCCACUAUUACCUUCAAAAGUCUGUCAGGCUAGUCUUUGGUACCACAACAACUCGACUCAUAAAUCACAUUAGAUGCAGGGUUGAGUCACUUACAGACCAGAGCCACAAUGCCCAUAAUUUAUUUUUAUGAACAAAUACUUUAAAAUCGUAUAACUGUGCAAAGUGUAUAGUAACCUUUUA